RNAcentral lists this ribosomal RNA (429 nucleotides) under Actinomycetes bacterium. RNAcentral describes it as "Actinobacteria bacterium partial 16S ribosomal RNA". It matches the Rfam family "Bacterial small subunit ribosomal RNA", at positions 355 to 776 of the family's 1533-position model. The record is from RNAcentral. Lineage: Bacteria; Bacillati; Actinomycetota; Actinomycetes.
UAGGGAAUCUUCCGCAAUGGGCGAAAGCCUGACGGAGCAACGCCGCGUGAGUGAUGAAGGUCUUCGGAUCGUAAAACUCUGUUAUUAGGGAAGAACAAAUGUGUAAGUAACUAUGCACGUCUUGACGGUACCUAAUCAGAAAGCCACGACUAACUACGUGCCAGCAGCCGCGGUAAUACGUAGGUGGCAAGCGUUAUCCGGAAUUAUUGGGCGUAAAGCGCGCGUAGGCGGUUUUUUAAGUCUGAUGUGAAAGCCCACGGCUCAACCGUGGAGGGGCAUUGGAAACUGGAAAACUUGAGUGCAGAAGAGGAAAGUGGAAUUCCAUGUGUAGCGGUGAAAUGCGCAGAGAUAUGGAGGAACACCAGUGGCGAAGGCGACUUUCUGGUCUGUAACUGACGCUGAUGUGCGAAAGCGUGGGGAUCAAACAGG